This 237-nucleotide unclassified non-coding RNA is filed under the name plant metagenome. RNAcentral describes it as "partial contains small subunit ribosomal RNA, internal transcribed spacer 1, and 5.8S ribosomal RNA". The record is from RNAcentral.
UCUCCGUUGGUGAACCAGCGGAGGGAUCAUUACCGAGUUUACAACUCUCAAACCCCAUGUUAACUUUACCCAACGUUGCUUCGGCGGGAUGCCCCGGGCGCGGGCCGCAAGGCCUCAGCCUCGGAACCAGGCGCCCGCCGGAGUCCCAAACCAAACUCUUGUUUUUGUAGAAUCUUCUGAGUGGCCUUUUAGGCAAAAAAUAAAUCAAAACUUUCAACAACGGAUCUCUUGGUUCUG